GCAUGGAGAGUUCAUUAAAGAGAGCAAUUUUGGUUACAGACGAGCAUGCGCUCCAUUAGCCAGUUGGCGGGGUAACGGCCCACCAAGGCGACGAUGGAUAGGGGUUCUGAGAGGAAGGUCCCCCACAUUGGAACUGAGACACGGUCCAAACUCCUACGGGAGGCAGCAGUGAGGAAUAUUGGUCAAUGGUCGGCAGACUGAACCAGCCAAGUCGCGUGAGGGAAGACGGCCCUACGGGUUGUAAACCUCUUUUGUCGGAGAGUAAAGUACGCUACGCGUAGCGUAUUGCAAGUAUCCGAAGAAAAAGCAUCGGCUAACUCCGUGCCAGCAGCCGCGGUAAUACGGAGGAUGCGAGCGUUAUCCGGAUUUAUUGGGUUUAAAGGGUGCGUAGGCGGCACGCCAAGUCAGCGGUGAAAUUUCCGGGCUCAACCCGGAGUGUGCCGUUGAAACUGGCGAGCUAGAGUGCACAAGAGGCAGGCGGAAUGCGUGGUGUAGCGGUGAAAUGCAUAGAUAUCACGCAGAACCCCGAUUGCGAAGGCAGCCUGCUAGGGUGCGACAGACGCUGAGGCACGAAAGCGUGGGUAUCGAACAGGAUUAGAUACCCUGGUAGUCCACGCAGUAAACGAUGAAUACUAACUGUUUGCGAUACAAUGUAAGCGGUA
This 662-nucleotide ribosomal RNA is filed under the name uncultured bacterium. RNAcentral's name for it is "bacterial SSU rRNA". It matches the Rfam family "Bacterial small subunit ribosomal RNA", at positions 188 to 848 of the family's 1533-position model. The record is from RNAcentral.